Molecule: ribosomal RNA, 440 nt
Filed under: uncultured bacterium
Lineage: Bacteria
Description: partial 16S ribosomal RNA
Rfam family: Bacterial small subunit ribosomal RNA
Source: RNAcentral
CCUACGGGUGGCAGCAGUGGGGAAUAUUGCACAAUGGGGGAAACCCUGAUGCAGCGACGCCGCGUGAGUGAAGAAGUAUUUAGGUAUGUAAAGCUCUGUCAGCAGGGAAGAAAAUGACUGUACCUGACCACGAAGCCCCGGCUAACUACGUGCCAGCAUCCGCGGUAAUACGUAGGGCGCAAGCGGUAUCCGGAUUUAAGGGGUGUAAAGGGGGCGUAAACGGAAGUGCAAGUCUGGAGGGAAAGGCGGGGGCUCAACCCCCGGACUGCUCUGGAAACUGCCAGGCUGGAGUGCAGGAGAGGUAAGUGGAAUUCGUAGUGUAGCGGUGAAAUGCGUAGAUAUUAGGAGGAACACCAGUGGCGAAGGCGGCAUACUGGACUGUAACUGACGUUGAGGCUCGAAAGCGUGGGGAGCAAACAGGAUUAGAUACCCCAGUAGUC